GUGGGGAGCGAACAGGAUUAGAUACCCUGGUAGUCCACGCCGUAAACGGUGGGCGCUAGUUGUGGGAACCUUCCACGGUUUCUGCGACGCAGCUAACGCAUUAAGCGCCCCGCCUGGGGAGUACGAUCGCAAGAUUAAAACUCAAAGGAAUUGACGGGGCCCCGCACAAGCAGCGGAGCAUGCGGCUUAAUUCGACGCAACGCGAAGAACCUUACCAAGGCUUGACAUAUACAGGAAUAUGGCAGAGAUGUCAUAGCGGUAAAACGUCUGUAUACAGGUGGUGCAUGGUUGUCGUCAGCUCGUGUCGUGAGAUGUUGGGUUAAGUCCCGCAACGAGCGCAACCCUCGUUCUGUGUUGCCAGCAUUUAGUUGGGGACUCACAGGAGACUGCCGGGGUUAACUCGGAGGAAGGUGGGGAUGACGUCAAAUCAUCAUGCCCCUUAUGUCUUGGGCUGCACGCAUGCUACAAUGGCUGGUACAAAGGGCUGCAAUACUGCAAAGUGGAGCGAAUCCCAAAAAGCCAGUCUCAGUUCGGAUUGGGGUCUGCAACUCGACCCCAUGAAGUCGGAGUUGCUAGUAAUCGUAGAUCAGCAACGCUACGGUGAAUACGUUCCCGGGGCUUGUACACACCGCCCGUCACAUCACGAAAGUCGGUAACACCCAAAGUCAGUGGCCCAACCGCAAGGAGGGAGCUGCCAAAGGUGGGAUCGGUGAUUGGGAUG
Molecule: ribosomal RNA, 721 nt
Filed under: uncultured bacterium
Lineage: Bacteria
Description: bacterial SSU rRNA
Rfam family: Bacterial small subunit ribosomal RNA
Source: RNAcentral